GAAAUGCGAUAAGUAAUGUGAAUUGCAGAAUUCAGUGAAUCAUCGAAUCUUUGAACGCACAUUGCGCCCGCCAGUAUUCUGGCGGGCAUGCCUGUCCGAGCGUCAUUUCAACCAUCAAGCCCCCGGGCUUGUGUUGGGGACCUGCGGCUGCCCGCAGGCCCUGAAAACCAGUGGCGGGCUCGCUGUCACACCGAGCGUAGUAGCAAUCACCUCGCUCAGGGCGUGCUGCGGGUUCCGGCCGUUAAGCAGCCUUACAAAACCCAAGGUUGACCUCGGAUCAUGUAGGAAGACCCGCUGAACUUAAGC
This 306-nucleotide unclassified non-coding RNA is filed under the name plant metagenome. RNAcentral describes it as "partial contains 5.8S ribosomal RNA, internal transcribed spacer 2, and large subunit ribosomal RNA". The stretch from base 1 to 105 matches the Rfam family "5.8S ribosomal RNA", at positions 50 to 154 of the family's 154-position model. The record is from RNAcentral.